RNAcentral lists this ribosomal RNA (253 nucleotides) under uncultured bacterium. Its description in RNAcentral is "partial 16S ribosomal RNA". It matches the Rfam family "Bacterial small subunit ribosomal RNA", at positions 524 to 776 of the family's 1533-position model. The record is from RNAcentral.
UACGAAGGGGGCUAGCGUUGUUCGGAAUCACUGGGCGUAAAGGGCGCGUAGGCGGCCGAUCAAGUCGGGGGUGAAAGCCUGUGGCUCAACCACAGAAUUGCCUUCGAUACUGUUUGGCUUGAGACCGGAAGAGGUAAGUGGAACUGCGAGUGUAGAGGUGAAAUUCGUAGAUAUUCGCAAGAACACCAGUGGCGAAGGCGGCUUACUGGUCCGGUUCUGACGCUGAGGCGCGAAAGUGUGGGGAGCAAACAGG